This 221-nucleotide ribosomal RNA is filed under the name Salmonella enterica subsp. enterica serovar Kentucky. RNAcentral describes it as "partial 16S ribosomal RNA". It matches the Rfam family "Bacterial small subunit ribosomal RNA", at positions 900 to 1120 of the family's 1533-position model. Lineage: Bacteria; Pseudomonadati; Pseudomonadota; Gammaproteobacteria; Enterobacterales; Enterobacteriaceae. The record is from RNAcentral.
CUCAAAUGAAUUGACGGGGGCCCGCACAAGCGGUGGAGCAUGUGGUUUAAUUCGAUGCAACGCGAAGAACCUUACCUGGUCUUGACAUCCACAGAACUUUCCAGAGAUGGACUGGUGCCUUCGGGAACUGUGAGACAGGUGCUGCAUGGCUGUCGUCAGCUCGUGUUGUGAAAUGUUGGGUUAAGUCCCGCAACGAGCGCAACCCUUAUCCUUUGUUGCCA